UACGGAGGGUGCAAGCGUUAUCCGGAUUCACUGGGUUUAAAGGGUGCGUAGGCGGGCUUGUAAGUCAGUGGUGAAAGCCCGGGGCUUAACUCCGGAACUGCCGUUGAUACUGCAAGCCUUGAGUACAGUUGAGGUGGGCGGAAUACAUCAUGUAGUGGUGAAAUACUUAGAUAUGAUGUAGAACACCGAUUGCGAAGGCAGCUCACUAAAGUGUAACUGACGCUGAGGCACGAAAGCGUGGGGAUCAAACAGG
Molecule: ribosomal RNA, 253 nt
Filed under: uncultured bacterium
Lineage: Bacteria
Description: partial 16S ribosomal RNA
Rfam family: Bacterial small subunit ribosomal RNA
Source: RNAcentral